This 263-nucleotide ribosomal RNA is filed under the name Cronobacter sakazakii. Its description in RNAcentral is "partial 16S ribosomal RNA". It matches the Rfam family "Bacterial small subunit ribosomal RNA", at positions 1 to 259 of the family's 1533-position model. Lineage: Bacteria; Pseudomonadati; Pseudomonadota; Gammaproteobacteria; Enterobacterales; Enterobacteriaceae. The record is from RNAcentral.
UUAAUUGAAGAGUUUGAUCAUGGCUCAGAUUGAACGCUGGCGGCAGGCCUAACACAUGCAAGUCGAACGGUAACAGGGAGCAGCUUGCUGCUCUGCUGACGAGUGGCGGACGGGUGAGUAAUGUCUGGGAAACUGCCUGAUGGAGGGGGAUAACUACUGGAAACGGUAGCUAAUACCGCAUAACGUCUUCGGACCAAAGUGGGGGACCUUCGGUCCUCAUGCCAUCCUCUGUGCCCAGCUGGGAUUCGCUAGUCGGUGGGGUA